Non-coding RNA from Schizosaccharomyces pombe (fission yeast), 228 nucleotides. The record is from the annotation of a GenBank genome assembly. NCBI's taxonomy places the organism in Eukaryota, Fungi, Ascomycota, Schizosaccharomycetes, Schizosaccharomycetales, Schizosaccharomycetaceae.
AUUAAGCACUUUGAGGCUUUUCCUUAAUACUUUGGUGGACACACGUCUAAACUUCAUAAGCAUCCAUUUUUGGUAGCAGAUGUAAGUGCUUUGUUUUCCAAUCACAAAGAAAAAAGACUGCUUAUUAUACCAAAAAGGAAAGAAAAACAAACUGACAUAACCUAAAAUCGACGUAUUAUUCAAAAAUAGGUAUGUAUAUCGUAGGAAAAAUAUAAAACAAUGGACAUU